This 894-nucleotide ribosomal RNA is filed under the name Bacillus velezensis. RNAcentral's name for it is "bacterial SSU rRNA". It matches the Rfam family "Bacterial small subunit ribosomal RNA", at positions 59 to 933 of the family's 1533-position model. The record is from RNAcentral. Lineage: Bacteria; Bacillati; Bacillota; Bacilli; Caryophanales; Bacillaceae.
CAGUCGAGCGGACAGAUGGGAGCUUGCUCCCUGAUGUUAGCGGCGGACGGGUGAGUAACACGUGGGUAACCUGCCUGUAAGACUGGGAUAACUCCGGGAAACCGGGGCUAAUACCGGAUGGUUGUUUGAACCGCAUGGUUCAGACAUAAAAGGUGGCUUCGGCUACCACUUACAGAUGGACCCGCGGCGCAUUAGCUAGUUGGUGAGGUAACGGCUCACCAAGGCAACGAUGCGUAGCCGACCUGAGAGGGUGAUCGGCCACACUGGGACUGAGACACGGCCCAGACUCCUACGGGAGGCAGCAGUAGGGAAUCUUCCGCAAUGGACGAAAGUCUGACGGAGCAACGCCGCGUGAGUGAUGAAGGUUUUCGGAUCGUAAAGCUCUGUUGUUAGGGAAGAACAAGUGCCGUUCAAAUAGGGCGGCACCUUGACGGUACCUAACCAGAAAGCCACGGCUAACUACGUGCCAGCAGCCGCGGUAAUACGUAGGUGGCAAGCGUUGUCCGGAAUUAUUGGGCGUAAAGGGCUCGCAGGCGGUUUCUUAAGUCUGAUGUGAAAGCCCCCGGCUCAACCGGGGAGGGUCAUUGGAAACUGGGGAACUUGAGUGCAGAAGAGGAGAGUGGAAUUCCACGUGUAGCGGUGAAAUGCGUAGAGAUGUGGAGGAACACCAGUGGCGAAGGCGACUCUCUGGUCUGUAACUGACGCUGAGGAGCGAAAGCGUGGGGAGCGAACAGGAUUAGAUACCCUGGUAGUCCACGCCGUAAACGAUGAGUGCUAAGUGUUAGGGGGUUUCCGCCCCUUAGUGCUGCAGCUAACGCAUUAAGCACUCCGCCUGGGGAGUACGGUCGCAAGACUGAAACUCAAAGGAAUUGACGGGGGGCCCGCACAAGCGGU